CUGCCUGGGUAACCAGGAGGAAGGUGGGGAUGACGUCAAAUCAUCAUGCCCCUUAUGUCCAGGGCUACACACGUGCUACAAUGGUAGGUACAAUAAGACGCAAGACCGUGAGGUGGAGCAAAACUUACAAAACCUAUCUCAGUUCGGAUUGUAGGCUGCAACUCGCCUACAUGAAGCUGGAGUUGCUAGUAAUCGCGAAUCAGAAUGUCGCGGUGAAUACGUUCCCGGGCCUUGUACACACCGCCCGUCACACCAUGAGAGCUGGUAACACCCGAAGUCCGUGAGGUAACCGUAAGGAGCCAGCGGCCGAAGGUGGGAUUAGUGAUUGGGGUGAAGUCGUAACAAGGUAGCCGUAGGAGAACCUGCGGCUGGAUCACCUCCUUUCUAAGGAGA
This 393-nucleotide ribosomal RNA is filed under the name Clostridium sporogenes. Its description in RNAcentral is "bacterial SSU rRNA". It matches the Rfam family "Bacterial small subunit ribosomal RNA", at positions 1149 to 1533 of the family's 1533-position model. The record is from RNAcentral. Lineage: Bacteria; Bacillati; Bacillota; Clostridia; Eubacteriales; Clostridiaceae.